This 232-nucleotide ribosomal RNA is filed under the name Salmonella enterica subsp. enterica serovar Enteritidis. RNAcentral describes it as "partial 23S ribosomal RNA". It matches the Rfam family "Bacterial large subunit ribosomal RNA", at positions 1145 to 1376 of the family's 2925-position model. The record is from RNAcentral. Lineage: Bacteria; Pseudomonadati; Pseudomonadota; Gammaproteobacteria; Enterobacterales; Enterobacteriaceae.
CUGGUCGAGUCGGCCUGCGCGGAAGAUGUAACGGGGCUAAACCAUGCACCGAAGCUGCGGCAGCGACACUGUGUGUUGUUGGGUAGGGGAGCGUUCUGUAAGCCUGCGAAGGUGGCCUGUGAGGGUUGCUGGAGGUAUCAGAAGUGCGAAUGCUGACAUAAGUAACGAUAAAGCGGGUGAAAAGCCCGCUCGCCGGAAGACCAAGGGUUCCUGUCCAACGUUAAUCGGGGCA